Molecule: ribosomal RNA, 488 nt
Filed under: uncultured bacterium
Lineage: Bacteria
Description: partial 16S ribosomal RNA
Rfam family: Bacterial small subunit ribosomal RNA
Source: RNAcentral
GAUGAACGCUAGCGAUAGGCUUAACACAUGCAAGUCGAGGGGCAGCACAAGGUAGCUUGCUAUCUGGGUGGCGACCGGCGCACGGGUGCGUAACGCGUAUGCAACUUGCCCUAUACAGGAGGAUAACCCGUCGAAAGACGGACUAAUACUGCGUAUGCUCACAACUUGGCAUCAAGUGGUGAGGAAAGAAAUUCGGUAUAGGAUAGGCAUGCGUCCCAUUAGCUUGUUGGUGAGGUAACGGCUCACCAAGGCAACGAUGGGUAGGGGAACUGAGAGGUUUAUCCCCCACACUGGUACUGAGACACGGACCAGACUCCUACGGGAGGCAGCAGUGAGGAAUAUUGGUCAAUGGGCGCGAGCCUGAACCAGCCAAGUCGCGUGAAGGAUGACUGUCUUAUGGAUUGUAAACUUCUUUUAUACGGGAAUAACAAGAGUCACGUGUGACUCCCUGCAUGUACCGUAUGAAUAAGCAUCGGCUAACUCCGUGC